UAGGGAAUCUUCGGCAAUGGACGAAAGUCUGACCGAGCAACGCCGCGUGAGUGAAGAAGGUUUUCGGAUCGUAAAACUCUGUUGUUCGAGAAGAACAAGGACGUUAGUAACUGAACGUCCCCUGACGGUAUCUAACCAGAAAUCCACGGCUAACUACGUGCCAGCAGCCGCGGUAAUACGUAGGUGGCAAGCGUUGUCCGGAUUUAUUGGGCGUAAAGCGAGCGCAGACGGUUUCUUAAGUCUGAUGUGAAAGCCCCCGGCUCAACCGGGGAGGGUCAUUGGAAACUGGGAGACUUGAGUGCGGAAGAGGAGAGUGGAAUUCCAUGUGUAGCGGUGAAAUGCGUAGAUAUAUGGAGGAACACCAGUGGCGAAGGCGGCUCUCUGGUCUGUAACUGACGCUGAGGCUCGAAAGCGUGGGGAGCAAACAGG
Molecule: ribosomal RNA, 429 nt
Filed under: Gemmatimonadota bacterium
Lineage: Bacteria; Pseudomonadati; Gemmatimonadota
Description: Gemmatimonadetes bacterium partial 16S ribosomal RNA
Rfam family: Bacterial small subunit ribosomal RNA
Source: RNAcentral